CUGAGCUGCCGGCGGGAGGUGAGCGCCGAGACCGGGGGCCGGAGCUGCGGCGCGGGCGGGGCUCCAGAUCGGACCCCUGCGGCCUGCGCUCUCCUCGGCGCUUGCUCCUCGGCCGCUUCGCCGUCUGAAGCAGAGGCGAAAACCGUGCACGACCCUCAUCCACGCUGCAGGGUCCGCCUGGUGGCGGUAACGCCCCGCUCCUGCAGCAACACAGGCCGGUCCCAGAGCGAGCCUGCCCGUCAAAGAGGACGACAUUACUACACGUAUCUAACUCGGAGGUUGUCGGAGGGCUGAGCCAGUCCGCGCGCAGCGGGCCACACGGGGGCGGUGAGGAAGUGCAGCACCUUAGCCGGUGUGCGCGGACCAGGAGGUUCCGGGGGUUCGGGACACCUGCACCUUGUGCGCAGGAAACCUCAGCCCAAGGCCUCAGAUAAAGAGACCUGGAAAUGGAAGAUGGCGCUGUGAGUAGUCCUCUUUGUCUCUCGCCCUUCGAGUCUACAAUUAUUUGGACACUUAUCGCUUGACAAAGGAUAUCCAGACAGCAUCUCAGGACGUCUGAGACACCCACGCGACUAUACAUCGGAAGGCGGAUGGACUUUCCUCCGGGAGGAUGUGGAAAUAGGUGAAAACUCUCCGACCCCGACGGGCAGCCUAGUACCCGCAAGUGGCUUUCUUCCAACGGACGCCCCCAGAGGAUCCACACACAUCUAGGGCAGGAGCGAGAACACAACAGGGGAGCGACGGUGGAAACAG
This 753-nucleotide long non-coding RNA is filed under the name Equus asinus (donkey). Its description in RNAcentral is "lncRNA (ENSEASG00005025932.1)". Lineage: Eukaryota; Metazoa; Chordata; Mammalia; Perissodactyla; Equidae. The record is from RNAcentral.